Daktulosphaira vitifoliae (grape phylloxera) is the source of this 1550-nucleotide long non-coding RNA. RefSeq lists it as uncharacterized. The transcript is spliced from 3 exons. NCBI's taxonomy places the organism in Eukaryota, Metazoa, Arthropoda, Insecta, Hemiptera, Phylloxeridae. The record is from RefSeq and is a predicted model, not a curated record.
UAGAUUUUUGCAUAAAACAGUGUUCACAAGGUAUAUUAGUGCCUGAUCGUUACAUUAAUAUAAGCACAUUACAAACUGUAUUGAAUGUAAAACAUAAGUCAAGGACAGUUACACAGUCGUUUUGUUCACGUAAUACUCGAACCACUUCAGAUUGGAUCACAGACAUUUUAGUUGAAACCUAUGGAACUAAUUCAUUUUUUAGUCAUUAACACACUUGGUCGUUGUGUUAUUAACGUCAAUCAAUGAAUUUUUUUAUCAGUCCUAAAUAACAUAAAGUAUAUUUGACCUAAAACCGGACGGGGAAAAACAAAGUAAUUGCCAGACGAUACGUUGUGUCGUGUUAUUCAAACUGGACUUGUACAGUUCGUUUUUCAUCGUAACACUACUAUCAGAAUCAUUUGUAACAACGUAAUGUCUGUUCUCAAUAAAAUAUAGUCUUACAUUAGAUAAUCAGUGACUAUGACAAUAAUUGUCGGCUUAGUGAAGGUCCUGCGUUCGUCGUUUAUAUUUUAAAAUAUUUUAUUGCUUAAUAAUAACUACAAGUUCUGAAAUGGAUGCAUUCGAUUCCUUAUACUCUAUUCGGACGUUUCCUAUAAGAGUUGACAAAAUAUGAACAGUUAAGGGUCAACAUGAGAUAAACAUUUUUUUUACACAUUUUAAAUAAUUUUAAUAUUAUGGAACAUUAUAAUUAAACGUCAAUAAAGAAACUGCGCGCCAAGGCGUUUUGGAUUAAAACAAGACCAACAUUGUGUCGUUGUCAAUAAACCUUGUAAAUAUUCCGCUGUUAGAAUGAUCACUACUUUUUUUAUACGUGACCUAAGAUAAUUAUACUUAUAUAAUUUAAAAAUUAUUCCGAGGUCAUUGUUUGACAAAAGACGCAUCUUCAAUAAGGCGAGCGCACGUGAACUUGUUUUUUUACUUUAGAGGUUAUUACCAAUUCAAUUUUACGUAAAUUAAUCUACCGUAUGUAUAAUGUGCUGCUUUAUUAUACUUAAAAUUUCUUGUUGGAUUUAUUGGACUUUGCAACGUGCUGUUUCCGUUGGAAGAUAGCAACGUGCGAGUGUCGGACACAAGGUCACUGGAGGAACCGGCGAGCAAGUGCCGGUGACCGUGGAUGUAUGGAGGCGGUGUGCUGCGGUGGUACGAGUUCUGCAAGGGGCAUUGCUCCUCCUGGAAGAGUCAAGGCCGAGUGUUGCCAUCUGCAAGCGAUGUAACUAUGAUGGAAAAUAUCGCAUGCACCGGCACAAGUAGAAAAAAAAAAUAAAAAACUUCAACGAUAUUGUUUAAAAUAAAAAUAUUUAGUAUGCUAAAUUUAUCCCAAAUUACGUUUGGAAUCUUGUUUUUUAAAUUUACAGCCGAUGAUUAUCGAUACAAAAGAAGUAGAAAGGGAAAAUAUUCAAUAUUAGCUAAUAUACUCUCUUAUGUCAUUUGAGUAGGUAUAACCUAACCCGGUAACUCUGUACAGACUACAGUGACGUAUUUUAUUGCCAGUCGGCGUUAGCGAUAUUCGAGAAUGAAGAGAACGAAUACAUUAAUGUCUUAUUAUUUAA